AGCUUUUCAGAGUGGCAGUAUCAUAGUCAAUGAAGAUGACCUGAGGCACAAUUAUUGCUAAUUGGACAUAGAAACCACCUUCACUCAUAUAUAAAAAUUAUUAUGUGCUAUACUAGAUAUUUCAGGAGAAUUGAUAAAAGA
This is a small nuclear RNA of Pan troglodytes (chimpanzee), 141 nucleotides long. It matches the Rfam family "U4 spliceosomal RNA". From Rfam's summary of the family: U4 small nuclear RNA (U4 snRNA) is a component of the major U2-dependent spliceosome. The structure of U4 snRNA from yeast and human has been reported. U4 snRNA presents a k-turn RNA motif in the 5p-SL related to recognition of Snu13 protein. NCBI's taxonomy places the organism in Eukaryota, Metazoa, Chordata, Mammalia, Primates, Hominidae. The record is from Rfam.